UACGAAGGGGGCUAGCGUUGUUCGGAAUCACUGGGCGUAAAGGGCGCGUAGGCGGCUUUGUAAGUCGGGGGUGAAAGCCUGUGGCUCAACCACAGAAUUGCCUUCGAUACUGCAUGGCUUGAGACCGGAAGAGGUUAGUGGAACUGCGAGUGUAGAGGUGAAAUUCGUAGAUAUUCGCAAGAACACCAGUGGCGAAGGCGGCUGACUGGUCCGGAACUGACGCUGAGGUGCGAAAGCGUGGGGAGCAAACAGG
This 253-nucleotide ribosomal RNA is filed under the name uncultured bacterium. Its description in RNAcentral is "partial 16S ribosomal RNA". It matches the Rfam family "Bacterial small subunit ribosomal RNA", at positions 524 to 776 of the family's 1533-position model. The record is from RNAcentral.